GCAAGUCGUGCGAGAAAGGGGGGGCAACUCCCCGAGUACAGCGGCGAACGGGUGAGUAACACGUAGGUAACCUACCCUUGAGCCCGGGAUAACCUACCGAAAGGUGGGCUAAUACUGGAUAUGACCACGGGAGCUUCGGCUCCUGCGGUGAAAGGUGGCCUCUGCUUGCAAGCUACCACUCGAGGAUGGGCCUGCGGGCCAUUAGCUAGUUGGCGGGGUAACGGCCCACCAAGGCGAUGAUGGCUAGCUGGUCUGAGAGGAUGGCCAGCCACACUGGGACUGAAACACGGCCCAGACUCCUACGGGAGGCAGCAGUGGGGGAUCUUGCGCAAUGGGCGAAAGCCUGACGCAGCGACGCCGCGUGGGUGAUGAAGGCCUUCGGGUCGUAAAGCCCUGUCGAGGGGGACGAAACGGUGCCGACCCAAUACGUCGGUGCCCUGACGGUACCCCUAAAGGAAGCACCGGCUAACUCCGUGCCAGCAGCCGCGGUAAUACGGAGGGUGCGAGCGUUGUUCGGAAUCACUGGGCGUAAAGGGCGUGUAGGCGGUCCGCUAAGUCUGGUGUGAAAGCCCGGGGCUCACCCCCGGAAGGGCACUGGAAACUGGUGGACUCGAGUCCCGGAGAGGAGGGUGGAAUUCCCGGUGUAGCGGUGAAAUGCGUAGAUAUCGGGAGGAACACCGGUGGCGAAGGCGGCCCUCUGGACGGUGACUGACGCUGAGACGCGAAAGCGUGGGGAGCAAACAGGAUUAGAUACCCUGUAGUCCACGCUGUAAACGAUGAGCACUAGUGUCGCGGGUAUUGACCCCUGCGGUGCCGCAGCUAACGCACUAAGUGCUCCGCCUGGGGACUACGGCCGCAAGGUUAAAACUCAAAGGAAUGACGGGGGCCCGCACAAGCGG
RNAcentral lists this ribosomal RNA (899 nucleotides) under uncultured delta proteobacterium. RNAcentral's name for it is "bacterial SSU rRNA". It matches the Rfam family "Bacterial small subunit ribosomal RNA", at positions 57 to 932 of the family's 1533-position model. The record is from RNAcentral. Lineage: Bacteria; Deltaproteobacteria.